AGUGGGAUAGCUGGGUUAAAUGGUGAUUCUGUUCCAAGUUUUCCAGGGAAUCUCCAUACUGCUUUCCAUAUUGGCUGCACCAAUUUGCAGUCCCACCAGCAAU
This 103-nucleotide microRNA precursor is filed under the name Marmota monax (woodchuck). Lineage: Eukaryota; Metazoa; Chordata; Mammalia; Rodentia; Sciuridae. The record is from RNAcentral.